RNAcentral lists this ribosomal RNA (245 nucleotides) under uncultured bacterium. RNAcentral's name for it is "partial 16S ribosomal RNA". It matches the Rfam family "Bacterial small subunit ribosomal RNA", at positions 524 to 768 of the family's 1533-position model. The record is from RNAcentral.
UACGGAGGUUGCAAGCGUUGUUCGGAAUAACUGGGCGUAAAGGGAGCGCAGGCGGUCUGAAUAGUCUAAAGUGAAAGCCCGGGGCUUAACUCCGGAAGUGCUUUGGAUACUGUCAGACUCGAGUUCGUGAGAGGAAAGCGGAAUUCCAGGUGUAGCGGUGAAAUGCGUAGAUAUCUGGAGGAACACCGGUGGCGAAAGCGGCUUUCUGGCGCGAUACUGACGCUGAGGCUCGAAAGCAUGGGGAG